Osmia lignaria (orchard mason bee) is the source of this 189-nucleotide long non-coding RNA. RefSeq lists it as uncharacterized. NCBI's taxonomy places the organism in Eukaryota, Metazoa, Arthropoda, Insecta, Hymenoptera, Megachilidae. The record is from RefSeq and is a predicted model, not a curated record.
GCAGCCACUUCGAACAAAAAUAUAUCAUGAUGAAGAAGCUGACAACGUCAGCAGUUCCAACACUGAACUUACCAGUGUCAGAGGCUGCCUCUAUUAAAAUAGAGCAGCAAGACACCCGGAUGGAAAUACCAGAAGAAGAAGAAGAAUGCAAACCUGACUGCACUGGGGAAUAGACAGUAAGAGUGGCAU